GAAAGGCCUUGCUUUUGCGGGGUGCUCGAGUGGCGAACGGGUGAGUAACACGUGAGUAACCUGCCCUUGACUUUGGGAUAACUUCAGGAAACUGGGGCUAAUACCGGAUAGGAGCUCCUGCUGCAUGGUGGGGGUUGGAAAGUUUCGGCGGUUGGGGAUGGACUCGCGGCUUAUCAGCUUGUUGGUGGGGUAGUGGCUUACCAAGGCUUUGACGGGUAGCCGGCCUGAGAGGGUGACCGGCCACAUUGGGACUGAGAUACGGCCCAGACUCCUACGGGAGGCAGCAGUGGGGAAUAUUGCACAAUGGGCGGAAGCCUGAUGCAGCAACGCCGCGUGCGGGAUGACGGCCUUCGGGUUGUAAACCGCUUUCGCCUGUGACGAAGCGUGAGUGACGGUAAUGGGUAAAGAAGCACCGGCUAACUACGUGCCAGCAGCCGCGGUGAUACGUAGGGUGCGAGCGUUGUCCGGAUUUAUUGGGCGUAAAGGGCUCGUAGGUGGUUGAUCGCGUCGGAAGUGUAAUCUUGGGGCUUAACCCUGAGCGUGCUUUCGAUACGGGUUGACUUGAGGAAGGUAGGGGAGAAUGGAAUUCCUGGUGGAGCGGUGGAAUGCGCAGAUAUCAGGAGGAACACCAGUGGCGAAGGCGGUUCUCUGGGCCUUUCCUGACGCUGAGGAGCGAAAGCGUGGGGAGCGAACAGGCUUAGAUACCCUGGUAGUCCACGCUGUAAACGGUGGGUACUAGGUGUGGGGUCCAUUCCACGGGUUCCGUGCCGUAGCUAACGCUUUAAGUACCCCGCCUGGGGAGUACGGCCGCAAGGCUAAAACUCAAAGGAAUUGACGGGGCCCCGCACAAGCGGCGGAGCAUGCGGAUUAAUUCGAUGCAACGCGUAGAACCUUACCUGGGUUUGACAUGGAUCGGGAGUGCUCAGAGAUGGGUGUGCCUCUUUUGGGGUCGGUUCACAGGUGGUGCAUGGCUGUCGUCAGCUCGUGUCGUGAGAUGUUGGGUUAAGUCCCGCAACGAGCGCAACCCUUGUUCACUGUUGCCAGCACGUUAUGGUGGGGACUCAGUGGAGACCGCCGGGGUCAACUCGGAGGAAGGUGGGGAUGACGUCAAGUCAUCAUGCCCCUUAUGUCCAGGGCUUCACGCAUGCUACAAUGGCUGGUACAGAGAGUGGCGAGCCUGUGAGGGUGAGCGAAUCUCGGAAAGUCGGUCUCAGUUCGGAUUGGGGUCUGCAACUCGACCUCAUGAAGUCGGAGUCGCUAGUAAUCGCAGAUCAGCAACGCUGCGGUGAAUACGUUCCCGGGGCU
RNAcentral lists this ribosomal RNA (1305 nucleotides) under uncultured bacterium. RNAcentral describes it as "bacterial SSU rRNA". It matches the Rfam family "Bacterial small subunit ribosomal RNA", at positions 69 to 1381 of the family's 1533-position model. The record is from RNAcentral.